GAGCUUGCUCUCGGGUGACGAGCGGCGGACGGGUGAGUAAUGUCUGGGAAACUGCCUGAUGGAGGGGGAUAACUACUGGAAACGGUAGCUAAUACCGCAUAAUGUCGCAAGACCAAAGUGGGGGACCUUCGGGCCUCAUGCCAUCAGAUGUGCCCAGAUGGGAUUAGCUAGUAGGUGGGGUAACGGCUCACCUAGGCGACGAUCCCUAGCUGGUCUGAGAGGAUGACCAGCCACACUGGAACUGAGACACGGUCCAGACUCCUACGGGAGGCAGCAGUGGGGAAUAUUGCACAAUGGGCGCAAGCCUGAUGCAGCCAUGCCGCGUGUGUGAAGAAGGCCUUCGGGUUGUAAAGCACUUUCAGCGGGGAGGAAGGCGUUAAGGUUAAUAACCUUGGCGAUUGACGUUACCCGCAGAAGAAGCACCGGCUAACUCCGUGCCAGCAGCCGCGGUAAUACGGAGGGUGCAAGCGUUAAUCGGAAUUACUGGGCGUAAAGCGCACGCAGGCGGUCUGUCAAGUCGGAUGUGAAAUCCCCGGGCUCAACCUGGGAACUGCAUUCGAAACUGGCAGGCUAGAGUCUUGUAGAGGGGGGUAGAAUUCCAGGUGUAGCGGUGAAAUGCGUAGAGAUCUGGAGGAAUACCGGUGGCGAAGGCGGCCCCCUGGACAAAGACUGACGCUCAGGUGYGAAAGCGUGGGGAGCAAACAGGAUUAGAUACCCUGGUAGUCCACGCCGUAAACGAUGUCGAUUUGGAGGUUGUGCCCUUGAGGCGUGGCUUCCGGAGCUAACGCGUUAAAUCGACCGCCUGGGGAGUACGGCCGCAAGGUUAAAACUCAAAUGAAUUGACGGGGGCCCGCACAAGCGGUGGAGCAUGUGGUUUAAUUCGAUGCAACGCGAAGAACCUUACCUGGUCUUGACAUCCACAGAACUUUCCAGAGAUGGAUUGGUGCCUUCGGGAACUGUGAGACAGGUGCUGCAUGGCUGUCGUCAGCUCGUGUUGUGAAAUGUUGGGUUAAGUCCCGCAACGAGCGCAACCCUUAUCCUUUGUUGCCAGCGGUCCGGCCGGGAACUCAAAGGAGACUGCCAGUGAUAAACUGGAGGAAGGUGGGGAUGACGUCAAGUCAUCAUGGCCCUUACGACCAGGGCUACACACGUGCUACAAUGGCAUAUACAAAGAGAAGCGACCUCGCGAGAGCAAGCGGACCUCAUAAAGUAUGUCGUAGUCCGGAUUGGAGUCUGCAACUCGACUCCAUGAAGUCGGAAUCGCUAGUAAUCGUAGAUCAGAAUGCUACGGUGAAUACGUUCCCGGGCCUUGUACACACCGCCCGUCACACCAUGGGAGUGGGUUGCAAAAGAAGUAGGUA
RNAcentral lists this ribosomal RNA (1361 nucleotides) under Klebsiella sp. UIWRF0215. Its description in RNAcentral is "bacterial SSU rRNA". It matches the Rfam family "Bacterial small subunit ribosomal RNA", at positions 76 to 1432 of the family's 1533-position model. Lineage: Bacteria; Pseudomonadati; Pseudomonadota; Gammaproteobacteria; Enterobacterales; Enterobacteriaceae. The record is from RNAcentral.